Molecule: ribosomal RNA, 435 nt
Filed under: uncultured bacterium
Lineage: Bacteria
Description: partial 16S ribosomal RNA
Rfam family: Bacterial small subunit ribosomal RNA
Source: RNAcentral
AGCGAACGCUGGCGGCAGGCUUAACACAUGCAAGUCGAGCGGGCAUCUUCGGAUGUCAGCGGCAGACGGGUGAGUAACACGUGGGAACGUACCCUUCGGUUCGGAACAACUCUGGGAAACUGGAGCUAAUACCGGAUACGCCCUUAUGGGGAAAGGUUUACUGCCGAAGGAUCGGCCCGCGUCUGAUUAGCUAGUUGGUGGGGUAACGGCCUACCAAGGCGACGAUCAGUAGCUGGUCUGAGAGGAUGAUCAGCCACACUGGGACUGAGACACGGCCCAGACUCCUACGGGAGGCAGCAGUGGGGAAUAUUGGACAAUGGGCGCAAGCCUGAUCCAGCCAUGCCGCGUGAGUGAUGAAGGCCUUAGGUUUGUAAAGCUCUUUUGUCCGGGACGAUAAUGACGGUACCGGAAGAAUAAGCCCCGGCUAACUUCGUG